Molecule: long non-coding RNA, 583 nt
Filed under: Homo sapiens (human)
Lineage: Eukaryota; Metazoa; Chordata; Mammalia; Primates; Hominidae
Description: non-protein coding LINC01888:6
Source: RNAcentral
GCGCUGGGGCAGAUUUAGGGCAAAGUUAACACUUCAAAAAUAUCUCCAGUAAUUGAGUAAAUUGCUCAUCUGUCAAAUUGGCUCUUUGGCAAAUUACUCUGCUUGCACAUAUUAAUAGCCAAGCUUAGCCAACUUGAAAUAUGGAGAUUUACUGGAAAUCACAGUGAAGUGAAGAGAGAGGCAAGAGCAGAAUUGAAAUUCCCACCUGGCAGCAAAAGAGAGUUAUGCAGAGCCUAUCAGGACCCGUGUUCACACCAGCACUUAGUUUGGAGGAAGCACCUGGAGGAGAUGCAGAGUCCAGAUGUGCGCCCUCUGCCGGAAGCCUACUGCACCAGGACGUAGGCCUGGAGUGGCCCUUAACGCAUUUGGAAAUCAGUCUUCACUAAAAAAACUUCCUCCAAAAUGUUCUUUAACAGCCCUUUAAAAGCCAUUGUUUCAAAACAGUCCAAGGUGGUGAACAAUUAAUAUUUUCGAUUUACAUGAAGACUCUGGAGUAGGAAUUACCUGAGUUGGAAACUCAGUUCUACUCUAUUGGUAUCAGGUUGCAUUCUGUAUCAUCAUUAAAAUUUUCAGAAAAACUCUC